GAUGAACGCUAGCGGGAGGCCUAACACAUGCAAGCCGAGCGGUAUUGUUUCUUCGGAAAUGAGAGAGCGGCGUACGGGUGCGGAACACGUGUGCAACCUGCCUUUUAUCUGGGGGAGUAGCCUUUCGAAAGGAAGAUUAAUACUCCAUAACAUAUUGAUUGGCAUCAAUUGUAUAUUGAAAGACUCCGGCGGAUAGAGAUGGGCGACGCGCAAGAUUAGCUAGUUGGUGAGGUGACGGCUCACCAAGGCGAUGAUCUUUAGGGGGCCGUGAGAGGGUGAUCCCCCACCAUGGUACUGAGACACGGACCAGACUCCUACGGGAGGCAGCAGUGAGGAAUAUUGGUCAAUGGGUGCAAG
RNAcentral lists this ribosomal RNA (357 nucleotides) under uncultured bacterium. RNAcentral's name for it is "bacterial SSU rRNA". It matches the Rfam family "Bacterial small subunit ribosomal RNA", at positions 28 to 381 of the family's 1533-position model. The record is from RNAcentral.